Molecule: ribosomal RNA, 468 nt
Filed under: uncultured bacterium
Lineage: Bacteria
Description: partial 16S ribosomal RNA
Rfam family: Bacterial small subunit ribosomal RNA
Source: RNAcentral
GACGAACGCUGGCGGCGUGCUUAACACAUGCAAGUCGAACGGAAAGGCCCUGCUUUUGUGGGGUGCUCGAGUGGCGAACGGGUGAGUAACACGUGAGUAACCUGCCCUUGACUUUGGGAUAACUUCAGGAAACUGGGGCUAAUACCAGAUAGGAGCUCCUGCUGCAUGGUGGGGGUUGGAAAGUUUCGGCGGUUGGGGAUGGACUCGCGGCUUAUCAGCUUGUUGGUGGGGUAGUGGCUUACCAAGGCUUUGACGGGUAGCCGGCCUGAGAGGGUGACCGGCCCCAUUGGGACUGAGAUACGGCCCAGACUCCUACGGGAGGCAGCAGUGGGGAAUAUUGCACAAUGGGCGGAAGCCUGAUGCAGCAACGCCGCGUGGGGGAUGACGGCCUUCGGGUUGUAAACCGCUUUCGCCUGUGACGAAGCGUGAGUGACGGUAAUGGGUAAAGAAGCACCGGCUAACUACGUG